Molecule: ribosomal RNA, 492 nt
Filed under: uncultured bacterium
Lineage: Bacteria
Description: partial 16S ribosomal RNA
Rfam family: Bacterial small subunit ribosomal RNA
Source: RNAcentral
AGUGAACGCUGGCGGUAGGCCUAACACAUGCAAGUCGAACGGCAGCACAGUAAGAGCUUGCUCUUACGGGUGGCGAGUGGCGGACGGGUGAGGAAUACAUCGGAAUCUACUUUUUCGUGGGGGAUAACGUAGGGAAACUUACGCUAAUACCGCAUACGACCUACGGGUGAAAGCAGGGGAUCUUCGGACCUUGCGCGAUUGAAUGAGCCGAUGUCGGAUUAGCUAGUUGGCGGGGUACAGGCCCACCCAGGCGACGAUCCGUAGCUGGUCGGAGAGGAUGAUCAGCCACACUGGAACUGAGACACGGUCCAGACUCCUACGGGAGGCAGCAGUGGGGAAUAUUGGACAAUGGGCGCAAGCCUGAUCCAGCCAUACCGCGUGGGUGAAGAAGGCCUUCGGGUUGUAAAGCCCUUUUGUUGGGAAAGAAAAGCAGCAGGUUAAUACCCCGCUGUUCUGACGGUACCCAAAGAAUAAGCACCGGCUAACUUCGUG